GACGAACGCUGGCGGCGUGCUUAACACAUGCAAGUCGAACGAAAAUACCAAGCUUGCUUGGUUGAUUAGUGGCGAACGGGUGAGUAACACGUGAGUAACCUGCCCCUUACUUUCCUGGAUAACUGCUCGAAAGGGUAGCUAAUACGGGAUAUUCUGACCAGCCUGCAUGGGUUGGUUUGGAAAGGUUGUUUUUCUGGUAAGGGAUGGGCUCGCGGCCUAUCAGCUUGUUGGUGGGGUGAUGGCCUACCAAGGCUUUGACGGGUAGCCGGCCUGAGAGGGUGGACGGUCACACUGGGACUGGGAUACGGCCCAGGCUCCUACGGGAGGCAGCAGUGGGGAAUAUUGCACAAUGGGGGCAAGCCUGAUGCAGCGACGCCGCGUGAGGGAUGAAGGCCUUCGGGUUGUAAACCUCUUUCGUCAGGGAACAAGGCACUGCUUUUUUGGUGGUGUUGAGGGUACCUGGAUAAGAAGCGCCGGCUAACUACGUG
Molecule: ribosomal RNA, 488 nt
Filed under: uncultured bacterium
Lineage: Bacteria
Description: partial 16S ribosomal RNA
Rfam family: Bacterial small subunit ribosomal RNA
Source: RNAcentral